This 72-nucleotide transfer RNA is filed under the name Sterkiella histriomuscorum. RNAcentral describes it as "tRNA-Gly". The record is from RNAcentral. Lineage: Eukaryota; Ciliophora; Spirotrichea; Sporadotrichida; Oxytrichidae.
UGUAAGAGGGUCUUAACAACUCAUCAAUAGUCUAGUGGUUAGGAUAGGUGCCUUCCAAGCACUUGACCCGGG